RNAcentral lists this ribosomal RNA (252 nucleotides) under uncultured bacterium. RNAcentral's name for it is "partial 16S ribosomal RNA". It matches the Rfam family "Bacterial small subunit ribosomal RNA", at positions 524 to 776 of the family's 1533-position model. The record is from RNAcentral.
UACGUAGGUGACAAGCGUUGUCCGGAUUUACUGGGCGUAAGAGCGCUCCGGCGGUCGAUCAAGUCGAGUGUGAAAGCCCCCGGCUCAACUGGGGAGGGUCAUUCGAUACUGAUCGACUCGAAGGCAGGAGAGGGUAGUGGAAUUCCCGGUGUAGUGGUGAAAUGCGUAGAUAUCGGGAGGAACACCAGUGGCGAAGGCGACUACCUGGCCUGUUCUUGACGCUGAGGCGCGAAAGCUAGGGGAGCAAACGGG